This 1494-nucleotide long non-coding RNA is filed under the name Salmo salar (Atlantic salmon). Its description in RNAcentral is "lncRNA (ENSSSAG00000103124.1)". Lineage: Eukaryota; Metazoa; Chordata; Actinopteri; Salmoniformes; Salmonidae. The record is from RNAcentral.
CAAUGAACAACAUUCUCACAUAGGUGUUCCUUUUGUCCAGGUGGGAAAGGGCAUCGUGGGUAAAUGAUUUGCUGAUGUCAACGCUGUGAACAUGGUGGUGGUGGGGUUAUAGUAUGGGGCAGGCAUAAGCUACGGACAACGAACGAACACAAUUGCAUUUUAUCAUUGGCAAUUUGAAUGCACAGAGAUACCGUGACGAGAUCCUGAGGCCCAUUGUCGUUCCAUUCAUCCGCCACCAUCACCUCAUGUUUCAGCAUGAUAAUACACGGCCCCGUGUCGCAAGGAUCUGGACACUUCCUGGAAGCUGAAAAUGUCCCAGUUCUUCCAUGGCCUGCAUACUCACCAGACAUGUCAUCCAUUGAGCAUGUUUGGGAUGCUCUGGAUCGAUGUGUAUGACGUCGUGUUUUUAGGUUGUAUUUAUUUACAGAAAACAAGUGAUGGACAACAAUACAGAUAAACAAUUAUUAUAAUAAAUAACAGUGUGGUUGGAAGCACAAGGGCUUGUAUAUAACAUCAACUAAAAAACAAUGUACCAUACAUAAGUACAAAAAGGUAGAAGACCCAGCAGGUUAUUGAUAUAGAUUAGUAUGGUAGUAGACCCAGCAGGUUAUUGAUAUAGAUCAGUAUGGUAGUAGACCCAGCAGGUUAUUGAUAUAGAUUAGUAUGGUAGUAGACCCAGCAGUCAGGUUAUUGAUAUAGAUUAGUAUGGUAGUAGACCCAGCAGGUUAUUGAUAUAGAUUAGUAUGGUAGUAGACCCAGCAGUCAGGUUAUUGAUAUAGAUUAGUAUGGUAGUAGACCCAGCAGGUUAUUGAUAUAGAUUAGUAUGGUAGUAGACCCAGCAGGUUAUUGAUAUAGAUUAGUAUGGUAGUAGACCCAGCAGUAACAUUAUUGAUAUAGAUUAGUAUGGUAGUAGACCCAGCAGGUUAUUGAUAUAGAUUAGUAUGGUAGUAGACCCAGCAGUCAGGUUAUUGAUAUAGAUGAGGAAUAACAAGGUCUAAUUGUCCAACCCUGUGGUACGCCAGGAUAUCUUGGCCCUGGUGGAUGCACAGCCGUUUGUGUUCCACUUCCUGCCAAUAUCAAACUACUUCCCACAGCCGUUGAAGAGUAGUGGGACAACAUUCCACAGGCCACUAUCAACAGCCUGAUCAACUCUAUGCGUCACGCUGCACGAGGUAAAUGUUGGUCGCUCCAGAGACUGACUGGCUUUCUGAUCCUUGCGCCCUACCUUUUCUUAUUAAGCUAUCUGUAUUCCCAGGCAUGUGAAAUCCAUAGAUUAGGGCCUAAUAAAUGUAUUUCUAUUGACUGAUUGAUUUCCUUAUGUGAACUGUAUCUCAGUAAAGUCUUUGAAAUUGUUGCAUGUUGCGUUUAUAUUUUUGUUUGUUUUGUAUAUCAUUUACGAUCCCCUUAUACAAACGGCUUACUCAUUUACCUAGCUCUUAUCAAUAGCUAAGAACGCUGUUAUCAGGCUUAAGUUCAAGGUCAGAAUACACGUAG